CUUCUUUUGGCAGCACAUACACUAAAAUUGUAACAGUAGAGAGAUGAUUAGUGUGACCCCUGUGAAAGGAUGACAUACAAGUUCGUGAAAUGUUCCAUAUUUUU
This 104-nucleotide small nuclear RNA is filed under the name Salvator merianae (Argentine black and white tegu). The record is from RNAcentral. Lineage: Eukaryota; Metazoa; Chordata; Lepidosauria; Squamata; Teiidae.